AGUGAGCGUUGGCGGCGUGGAUUAGGCAUGCAAGUCGAGCGAGAACCGUAGCAAUACGGGGACAGCGGCGAAAGGGACAGUAAUGUGUAGGUACCUACCUCCGGGUUCGGGAUAGCUGCGGGAAACUGCAGGUAAUACCGAAUAACGUCUCCGGACCAAAGGUGUGAUUCCACCUGGAGAGGGGCCUGCAUCCUAUUAGCUAGUUGGGGAGGUAACGGCUCACCAAGGCGACGAUGGGUAGCGGGUGUGAGAGCACGACCCGCGUCAUUGGGACUGAGACACUGCCCAGACACCUACGGGUGGCUGCAGUCGAGGAUCUUCGGCAAUGGGCGCAAGCCUGACCGAGCGACGCCGCGUGCGGGAUGAAGGCCUUCGGGUUGUAAACCGCUGUCGUAGAGGAGGAAAUGCAGGGGGGUUCUCCCCUCUGUUUGACCUAUUCUAGGAGGAAGGACGGGCUAAGUUCGUGCCAGCCGCCGCAGUAA
This 482-nucleotide ribosomal RNA is filed under the name uncultured bacterium. RNAcentral's name for it is "partial 16S ribosomal RNA". It matches the Rfam family "Bacterial small subunit ribosomal RNA", at positions 28 to 523 of the family's 1533-position model. The record is from RNAcentral.